CUGAAAUUUAAAAAUUUGUUCAACAAAUGUAAUUUUUACAAAUAAAUGCAGUAUUUACAUAAGUAAUCGAUCUGAGUUAGUAGGCGUGAACAUUUUUAUUGCCUGUCAGUCAAUCUCUCCUCGCAUCUGAUUGGUGAUAAUAUUCAAAGUAAUUAGAAUCCAGCCUGUAACAUUAUGAAAAAAGAUAAAACGACAACCCACAAAACAUAUCUACAAAUGUAUUUAUCUUUGUGUUAAAACAUUUAACUUUUAACUUUAUUUGUGUUUGCAGUUGCGACAAAAGGUAUUUACUUCAAUGGAUCCAACUUUGUUGCACAAAGUGGAGCAUCUUAGAUCACCACCACAAGCUCACUCCAGCCCAGGAACUACCCCAGGGACAAUCAGUCUAGCCCACGGGACGAUGUUACCAGCACUCAACCUCAACAGCAGCUUGAUGAACAAGAUUCACAAGACGACAUCUUACAGUUCCCCACCGCCAGUAGCAAAUAAUCCGGACAAUAAUGUGUGCAAACUUAUCGACUACCGUGGAGCCAAGAUAGCCGCCUUUGUUGUGGAGGGUCGGGAACUUAUUUGUCUCCCUCAAGCUUUUGAACUGUUUCUGAAGCAUCUUGUUGGAGGACUUCACACUGUAUAUACCAAACUAAAGAGACUAGACAUAACGCCAGUAGUGUGUAAUGUUGAACAGGUCCGGAUUCUCCGGGGGCUGGGAGCUAUCCAGCCCGGGGUCAACAGAUGUAAACUCAUCUCUUGCAAAGAAUUUGAUGUUCUGUACGAAGACUGCACAAAUUCAAG
Molecule: long non-coding RNA, 792 nt
Filed under: Mytilus galloprovincialis (Mediterranean mussel)
Lineage: Eukaryota; Metazoa; Mollusca; Bivalvia; Mytilida; Mytilidae
Source: RNAcentral